UACAAGAAAUUGGGCUCAAUUUAGGGC
Molecule: small RNA, 27 nt
Filed under: Bombyx mori (domestic silkworm)
Lineage: Eukaryota; Metazoa; Arthropoda; Insecta; Lepidoptera; Bombycidae
Description: ovarian small RNA-20083
Source: RNAcentral